CCUACGUGAGGCUGCAGUGGGGAAUAUUGCACAAUGGGGGAAACCCUGAUGCAGCGACGCCGCGUGAGUGAGGAAGUAUUUCGGUAUGUAAAGCUCUAUCAGCAGGGAAGAAAAUGACGGUACCUGACUAAGAAGCCCCGGCUAACUACGUGCCAGCAGCCGCGGUAAUACGUAGGGGGCAAGCGUUAUCCGGAUUUACUGGGUGUAAAGGGAGCGCAGGCGGCGUGGCAAGUCAGAUGUGAAAACCCGGGGCCCAACCCCGGGAGUGCAUUUGAAACUGCCAUGCUGGAGUGCCGGAGAGGUAAGCGGAAUUCCUAGUGUAGCGGUGAAAUGCGUAGAUAUUAGGAGGAACACCAGUGGCGGAGGCGGCUUACUGGACGGUAACUGACGCUGAGGCUCGAAAGCGUGGGGAGCAAACAGGAUUAGAUACCCCAGUAGUC
This 440-nucleotide ribosomal RNA is filed under the name uncultured bacterium. Its description in RNAcentral is "partial 16S ribosomal RNA". It matches the Rfam family "Bacterial small subunit ribosomal RNA", at positions 338 to 795 of the family's 1533-position model. The record is from RNAcentral.